UACGGAGGGAGCUAGCGUUGUUCGGAAUUACUGGGCGUAAAGCGCACGUAGGCGGCGAUUCAAGUCAGAGGUGAAAGCCCGGGGCUCAACCCCGGAACUGCCUUUGAAACUAGAUUGCUAGAAUCUUGGAGAGGCGAGUGGAAUUCCGAGUGUAGAGGUGAAAUUCGUAGAUAUUCGGAAGAACACCAGUGGCGAAGGCAGCUCGCUGGGACGGUACUGACACUGAGGCGCGAAAGCGUGGGGAGCGAACAGG
RNAcentral lists this ribosomal RNA (253 nucleotides) under uncultured bacterium. Its description in RNAcentral is "partial 16S ribosomal RNA". It matches the Rfam family "Bacterial small subunit ribosomal RNA", at positions 524 to 776 of the family's 1533-position model. The record is from RNAcentral.